RNAcentral lists this ribosomal RNA (250 nucleotides) under uncultured Desulfocapsa sp. RNAcentral describes it as "partial 16S ribosomal RNA". It matches the Rfam family "Bacterial small subunit ribosomal RNA", at positions 1137 to 1382 of the family's 1533-position model. Lineage: Bacteria; Pseudomonadati; Thermodesulfobacteriota; Desulfobulbia; Desulfobulbales; Desulfocapsaceae. The record is from RNAcentral.
ACUCUAAAGAGACUGCCGGUGUACGAAACCGGAGGAAGGUGGGAUGACGUCAAGUCCUCAUGGCCUUUAUGACCAGGGCUACACACGUACUACAAGUGGCCGGUACAAAGGGGCAGCGACACAGCGAUGUGAAGCCAAUCCCCGAAAAGCCGGUCUCAGUCCGGAUUGGAGUCUGCAACUCGACUCCAUGAAGUUGGAAUCGCUAGUAAUGGCAGAUCAGCAUGCUGCCGUGAAUACGUUCCCGGGUCUU